Molecule: ribosomal RNA, 462 nt
Filed under: Priestia megaterium
Lineage: Bacteria; Bacillati; Bacillota; Bacilli; Caryophanales; Bacillaceae
Description: bacterial SSU rRNA
Rfam family: Bacterial small subunit ribosomal RNA
Source: RNAcentral
UGAUCCUGGCUCAGGAUGAACGCUGGCGGCGUGCCUAAUACAUGCAAGUCGAGCGAACUGAUUAGAAGCUUGCUUCUAUGACGUUAGCGGCGGACGGGUGAGUAACACGUGGGCAACCUGCCUGUAAGACUGGGAUAACUUCGGGAAACCGAAGCUAAUACCGGAUAGGAUCUUCUCCUUCAUGGGAGAUGAUUGAAAGAUGGUUUCGGCUAUCACUUACAGAUGGGCCCGCGGUGCAUUAGCUAGUUGGUGAGGUAACGGCUCACCAAGGCAACGAUGCAUAGCCGACCUGAGAGGGUGAUCGGCCACACUGGGACUGAGACACGGCCCAGACUCCUACGGGAGGCAGCAGUAGGGAAUCUUCCGCAAUGGACGAAAGUCUGACGGAGCAACGCCGCGUGAGUGAUGAAGGCUUUCGGGUCGUAAAACUCUGUUGUUAGGGAAGAACAAUACGAGAGUAAC